UUCCAUCAUAAGUAGGAUUUUUUUCUAAUUAAUAUGUGAGAAAGAGUUGGUAUAUGAUAGAAAGUAAUGCUUUAGCUAUGGUUAAAGAUUAUAAAUGCUUCUAAAAUGUUCCAUUAUCGGCUUAGUCAUUUUCUUUUUUGGAGGGGGGUAGGAUUUAAAUAAUAAUAGAUUAGAGAAGAGUUGUUUGUUGAAUUUCAAAAAUGGUUAAGAGGAUGUAAAUAAUGAAAAAUAAUUAUAAUGUAAGUGGAUUGAGGUUAAUGUAUUCUUUUGAAGGUCUUGGUGAAUUGUAUAAAAACCCGUGGAACGCGUAUUUCGAUAGCUACAACCUCCCUCUCUCCUCGGCACCAAACAGCCAACUUCUAAGUUAUUAUGAACCCCAAUACUCGUUCGUAAAGUUUUUAAAUAAUUUUAUGACUUUUCUUCUAAGUGGGAGAUUUUUUUAAAACUUGUAUUUAUUUCUAUGACAUUUAAAAGCAUAGAUAUUUUCUUUUAGUAAAACGAUCCAUCGACCGACUACAGGAUGAAGAAGAUUGGGAACCCAGUCAACGGUUUGAACCGAGUACAUCAUCAUCACCUUAUGCCCACAUUUUUUCCGUGCUAAAAAAAAGGAAACGAAAUCAAGAAUCAAUUGAUUAUGAAGAUGAGGGAUAUCAGCAAAUUGAAGAAAAACGUAAACCGAGUGCUGAAGUAGGAGAUAGGAUUGUUGUAGCUCACACCGAAACAAAAGGAUCGGACGCACGAAAGGAUGUGGAAAUUGUUGAAGUGAAAAAACCCAAUUUUGAUUUUGACCUGAGCAAUGAACUCGAAGAAAGAGAUGCAAAGCUGAAACCUUUCAGCAUUAACCUCGAUCAAGUGAAAGACACCAAUUCGAAAUACAACCACACCAGAAAAAUAAAUAUAAAUCGAAAACAUUUUUCUCCUGACUUAUUUAAAACUAUAAAAAGAGAUCCAUAUAUGACGACAAAAGAAAUGAUUGACAUCUGUUUCAGUGGUUGGACAGCAGAAAAUUAAUUGAAUGAUGUAAAAUGUAUGUAUUUUAAUGUGUAUUUUAUUUUUUGAAAAUGUAUCUGUUUUUGUAUGUAUUUUAUCUGAAACUUUUUUUUUUAAAUAUUACUGUAGAAUGUAAAAUAAAAAAGGCGGGUCCCCUACAAGGGGCCUG
Molecule: long non-coding RNA, 1159 nt
Organism: Uloborus diversus
Lineage: Eukaryota; Metazoa; Arthropoda; Arachnida; Araneae; Uloboridae
Exons: 4
Source: RefSeq, a predicted model, not a curated record